GUGCUCACUUCGGCAGCACGUAUACUAAUAAUUGGAACGAUACAGAGAACAUUAGCAUGGUCCCUGUGCAAGGAUGACAUACAAACUUGUAAAGCGGUCCAUAUUUUU
Small nuclear RNA from Trichechus manatus latirostris (Florida manatee), 108 nucleotides. NCBI's taxonomy places the organism in Eukaryota, Metazoa, Chordata, Mammalia, Sirenia, Trichechidae. The record is from RefSeq and is a predicted model, not a curated record.